AUUGAACGCUAGCGGCAGGCCUAACACAUGCAAGUCGAACGAGUGGCGGACGGGUGAGUAAUGUCUGGGAAACUGCCUGGUGGAGGGGGAUAACUACUGGAAACGGUAGCUAAUACCGCAUACCAUCGGAUGUGCCCAGAUGGGAUUAGCUAGUAGGUGGGGUAAAGGCUCACCAAGGCGACGAUCCCUAGCUGGUCUGAGAGGAUGACCAGCCAAACUGGAACGGAGACACGGCCCAGACUCCUACGGGAGGCAGCAGUGGGGAAUAUUGCACAAUGGGCGCAAGCCUGAUGCAGCCAUCCCGCGUGUAUGAAGAAGGCCUUCGGGUUGUAAAGUACUUUCAGCGGGGAAGCGGUACCCGCAGAAGAAGCACCGGCUAACUCCGUGCCAGCCGCCGCGGUAAUAC
Molecule: ribosomal RNA, 406 nt
Filed under: uncultured bacterium
Lineage: Bacteria
Description: partial 16S ribosomal RNA
Rfam family: Bacterial small subunit ribosomal RNA
Source: RNAcentral